RNAcentral lists this unclassified non-coding RNA (211 nucleotides) under plant metagenome. Its description in RNAcentral is "partial contains small subunit ribosomal RNA, internal transcribed spacer 1, and 5.8S ribosomal RNA". The record is from RNAcentral.
UUUCCGUAGGUGAACCUGCGGAAGGAUCAUUCAUAAUAAAGUGUUUUAUGGCACUUUUUAAAAAUCCAUAUCCACCUUGUGUGCAAUGUUAGAUCUCGUCAAUCUUGGCGAGAUUUUUAUACAUCAACUCAUUCUUUAACUAAUUUGUCUGAAAAAUAUUAUGAAUACUUAAUUCAAAAUUCAACUUUCAACAACGGAUCUCUUGGCUCUC